UAGGGAAUCUUCCACAAUAGACGCAAGUCUGAUGGAGCAACGCCGCGUGAGUGAAGAAGGUUUUCGGAUCGUAAAGCUCUGUUGUUGGUGAAGAAGGAUAGAGGCAGUAACUGGUCUUUAUUUGACGGUAAUCAACCAGAAAGUCACGGCUAACUACGUGCCAGCAGCCGCGGUAAUACGUAGGUGGCAAGCGUUGUCCGGAUUUAUUGGGCGUAAAGCGAGCGCAGGCGGAAUGAUAAGUCUGAUGUGAAAGCCCACGGCUCAACCGUGGAACUGCAUCGGAAACUGUCAUUCUUGAGUGCAGAAGAGGAGAGUGGAAUUCCAUGUGUAGCGGUGGAAUGCGUAGAUAUAUGGAAGAACACCAGUGGCGAAGGCGGCUCUCUGGUCUGCAACUGACGCUGAGGCUCGAAAGCAUGGGUAGCGAACAGG
RNAcentral lists this ribosomal RNA (429 nucleotides) under Bacillota bacterium. RNAcentral describes it as "Firmicutes bacterium partial 16S ribosomal RNA". It matches the Rfam family "Bacterial small subunit ribosomal RNA", at positions 355 to 776 of the family's 1533-position model. The record is from RNAcentral. Lineage: Bacteria; Bacillati; Bacillota.